RNAcentral lists this ribosomal RNA (468 nucleotides) under uncultured bacterium. RNAcentral describes it as "partial 16S ribosomal RNA". It matches the Rfam family "Bacterial small subunit ribosomal RNA", at positions 28 to 507 of the family's 1533-position model. The record is from RNAcentral.
GACGAACGCUGGCGGCGUGCUUAACACAUGCAAGUCGAACGGAAAGGCCCUGCUUUUGUGGGGUGCUCGAGUGGCGAACGGGUGAGUAACACGUGAGUAACCUGCCCUUGACUUUGGGAUAACUUCAGGAAACUGGGGCUAAUACCGGAUAGGAGCUCCUGCUGCAUGGUGGGGGUUGGAAAGUUUCGGCGGUUGGGGAUGGACUCGCGGCUUAUCAGCUUGUUGGUGGGGUAGUGGCUUACCAAGGCUUUGACGGGUAGCCGGCCUGAGAGGGUGACCGGCCACAUUGGGACUGAGAUACGGCCCAGACUCCUACGGGAGGCAGCAGUGGGGAAUAGUGCACAAUGGGCGGAAGCCUGAUGCAGCAACGCCGCGUGCGGGAUGACGGCCUUCGGGUUGUAAACCGCUUUCGCAUGUGACGAAGCGUGAGUGACGGUAAUGGGUAAAGAAGCACCGGCUAACUACGUG